GCAGUGGUGGUUCAGUGGUGGAAUUCUAGCCUUCCAUGCAGGAGACCCAGGUUGGAUUUCCGGCCAGUGCA
Molecule: transfer RNA, 71 nt
Filed under: Loxodonta africana (African savanna elephant)
Lineage: Eukaryota; Metazoa; Chordata; Mammalia; Proboscidea; Elephantidae
Rfam family: tRNA
About the family: Transfer RNA (tRNA) molecules are approximately 80 nucleotides in length. Their secondary structure includes four short double-helical elements and three loops (D, anti-codon, and T loops).
Source: Rfam by way of RNAcentral